Molecule: ribosomal RNA, 425 nt
Filed under: uncultured bacterium
Lineage: Bacteria
Description: partial 16S ribosomal RNA
Rfam family: Bacterial small subunit ribosomal RNA
Source: RNAcentral
GUAGGGAAUCUUGCGCAAUGGGCGAAAGCCUGACGCAGCCAUGCCGCGUGAAUGAUGAAGGUCUUAGGAUUGUAAAAUUCUUUCACCGGGGACGAUAAUGACGGUACCCGGAGAAGAAGCCCCGGCUAACUUCGUGCCAGCAGCCGCGGUAAUACGAAGGGGGCUAGCGUUGCUCGGAAUUACUGGGCGUAAAGGGAGCGUAGGCGGAUAGUUUAGUCAGAGGUGAAAGCCCAGGGCUCAACCUUGGAAUUGCCUUUGAUACUGGCUAUCUUGGGUAUGGAAGAGGUAUGGGGAACUCCGGGUGUAGAGGUGAAAUUCGUAGAUAUUCGGAAGAACACCAGUGGCGAAGGCGACAUACUGGUCCAUUACUGACGCUGAGGCUCGAAAGCGUGGGGAGCAAACAGGAUUAGAUACCCUAGUAGUCC